This 497-nucleotide ribosomal RNA is filed under the name uncultured bacterium. Its description in RNAcentral is "partial 16S ribosomal RNA". It matches the Rfam family "Bacterial small subunit ribosomal RNA", at positions 28 to 507 of the family's 1533-position model. The record is from RNAcentral.
GAUGAACGCUGGCGGCGUGCCUAAUACAUGCAAGUCGAGCGAACAGACGAGGAGCUUGCUCCUCUGACGUUAGCGGCGGACGGGUGAGUAACACGUGGAUAACCUACCUAUAAGACUGGGAUAACUUCGGGAAACCGGAGCUAAUACCGGAUAAUAUAUUGAACCGCAUGGUUCAAUAGUGAAAGACGGUUUUGCUGUCACUUAUAGAUGGAUCCGCGCCGCAUUAGCUAGUUGGUAAGGUAACGGCUUACCAAGGCAACGAUGCGUAGCCGACCUGAGAGGGUGAUCGGCCACACUGGAACUGAGCCACGGUCCAGACUCCUACGGGAGGCCGCAGUAGGGAAUCUUCCGCAAUGGGCGAAAGCCUGGCGGAGCAACGCCGCGUGAGUGAUGAAGGUCUUCGGAUCGUAAAACUCUGUUAUUAGGGAAGAACAAAUGUGUAAGUAACUAUGCACGUCUUGACGGUACCUAAUCAGAAAGCCACGGCUAACUACGUG